CGCCUGUUUAUCAAAAACAUGUCUUUGAGAGUUUAUUUAAGGUCUGACCUGCUCAGUGAUUUUAUUAAAUAGCCGCGGUAUAUUAACUGUGCUAAGGUAGCAUAAUAAUUAGUCUUUUAAUUGAGGUCUAGAAUGAAUGGUUGAACGAGAAAUUUACUUUAUUGUUUUUAUUUUUUUUGAAUUUUAUUUAUUGGUUAAAAAGCCAUUAUGUUUAAGAGGGACGAUAAGACCCUGUAGAUCUUUAUAAUUUAAAUAAUUUUUAUUUUUUUGUGUUUGUUUUUUUUGUUAUUAUUUGAUUUAUUUUGUUGGGGUGACAGUUAAAAUUUUAAACUUUAGUUUUUUUUUACAUAUAUUUAUGGUUUGUUAGAUCUUUAAUUUUUGAUAUCAAGAUCAAGAUACCUCAGGGAUAACAGCGUUAUAGAUUUGGAGAGUUCUUAUUGAUAAAUUUGUUUGCGACCUCGAUGUUGGAUUAAAGUUUUACUGUGGGGUAGGUUUUACAGUUUUAGGUCUGUUCGACUUUAAAAUUUUACAUGAUCUGAGUUCAGACCGG
RNAcentral lists this ribosomal RNA (550 nucleotides) under Euhemisphaerius tappanus. RNAcentral describes it as "Epyhemisphaerius tappanus partial 16S ribosomal RNA". It matches the Rfam family "Bacterial large subunit ribosomal RNA", at positions 1797 to 2619 of the family's 2925-position model. The record is from RNAcentral. Lineage: Eukaryota; Metazoa; Arthropoda; Insecta; Hemiptera; Issidae.